Molecule: long non-coding RNA, 2478 nt
Organism: Chroicocephalus ridibundus (black-headed gull)
Lineage: Eukaryota; Metazoa; Chordata; Aves; Charadriiformes; Laridae
Exons: 3
Source: RefSeq, a predicted model, not a curated record
CGCCGCAGCCCGGCCGUGCUCUGGCGGGGGGGGGGGGGCGGCGAGGCAGCCCCCCGCCCGCCGCCGCGGCCUAGGCGGGUCAGCGGCCGCCGCCCGGGGAAGGAGGAGGGCGGCCGCCCCCCUUCCCUUCCCCUCCCCUCCCGGCCCGGCACAAUGCGGCGGGCACGGCGCGGCCGAGCGGAGCAGGCCCCGGCCCCGUCGCUUCCUUCCCCCAGCCCUUCCCAGCCGGGGGAGCGGGUCACUUACAUGGCUGGAGCCCGGGGAGGAGUGCCAUAAACGCCAACUGGGCUGUAAGAACUGAUUGGAUUUCUUCAGAAAUGUACGAUCGCUGAUGAUCGCAUUUCUGCAAGCGGACUAGCUGGAAUUUAGAAAAUGGCACAUCUUGCCGCAGCUGUGCACUGGUAACAACAUAAAGGUCUGUCUAAUCAUAUCUGUCAUGAGGGUUCCCGAGCGUCAAAUGGAUCGCUGGGUUUUGGGUGUGCCAGAAGAGCCAACGAUGAGACACAGGAGGAAGGCCUUCACUCGUCUUCAUGGUGGAGGGAGAAAGAGCAAGACCUCCUUUCCUACCAGGGAACAGACCAGUUCCUCCUGGCAGAGCUGCAACACCAGCGUGGUAUUUUCUAAGGCUCUGCUUUGGGUUUAUUGAGGCAUAUUUCAGGACAGUUUUAAAAUUUUACCAUUCAGACAAUCUAGCGGAAUAAGCAGACCCCGUGGUACAGGCCCAGUUACCUAGUUUAGGGUCAGAUCCUCGUCUGCUGCAGUCAGUGGAAAGAUUUCUGUUGAUGUCAGGGCAGAAUGAAAUGCCUGUGAGCGUUUUCUAAGCUGCAAAGGUAACGGAAAGGAAAAAUCUGGGUUUGUGAUCGCAUUUCAACCUACCGUGCAUUACGUUCAGAAUAUUUAGUGUCGAUUAAAAUGUAGGUAGGUGUUAAAGAUAUAUUUAAAAUUAAAUUAAUCAUGGACACGUAUAGAACUGAACAAAAAAAAAAUGAAGAAAAUUAAUUUAUGAACUAAUUUUGAGUCUUUAGACUGCAGCUACACCUAGCAAUAAAAAGUGUGUGUAAGUACAGGAGGUCACUGGCCGUGAGACACUUGUGCCCAGGCAGGGGGAUCUCUGGUAAUAGAUCUGGUUGCAGGAGAGCUUUCUUGCCUUCCUGCCAAACCCUGUACUGAUUGAUAAGCUCCCAGGCUGCGUGGUGAGCAAGGUCAUUAGGACUUCCCCCUGCAAAUGAAGUAGCAGCUUAAAAAAUAAGGUCACAGAGUAAACAGUUUUCUGUCCUGAAGAGAAGAAAAUAAACCUCUGUUGUUUGCUAGAAAGGAAGUAAGAUUAAAAAAAACCAAAAUUUCAACAUGAACAGAUUGUUUAGAUUUCCCGACUGUUGAUUUACCACAAUGAAAGGCAGGCCCAAACUAGAAAGUUUGGAUCCCGAUCUGGAUCAGACAUUGCCCAAAUUUGAGGGGGAAGUGUGAUUCGGAGUCUGGAGUAAGGGCUUAUCUCUCAAACACAGCAAAGUACUGUGGAUAAAAAUACCCAGGUAAAGUAGGAAGUGCCUGGUCUGCAACAACAAGAGUGACUUUGUAUCAACAAUGAACAAAAGCAGCUUUUUUUUUUUUCUUUGAGAACAAUGAAAUCACUCAAGAAUUGUUACAAAUGCAAACAAUGUGGGGUUUAUCAUUCAGUUAUCAUCAAUGGGAUUAUAGUCCAUAAAUCCUAAUUUUCAGGGAAGUCCCUAGAUUUCCCUGAGCGCUUCCUCAAAUUUCACAUCUGUUGACUCUAGUUUAUUAAGUGCUUCAGGAUAAGGUGCAUCAACUGUUCUUUAGUAUUAUAUUACCUGAAAAUACUGAAUGUAGGGCUUAGUGGCAAAGAACAGUUGAUUGCUAGACUUUGUAUCAGUACCACACCAGAAGAGCAGGCACUCCUGUUCCCAUCCAUUUUUUACAUAUAUAUAGGUAACAUAUAAUUCAAUGUAACUUUUUAAAGUUAUUUUAAAACCUCAAAAUUAUGCAGCUUUGGAUAACAAUUUUUUUUUUUUUUUAUCCAGUCAGGCAUAAGAAGAAAGCCUAGCAUGGUAGGAUGAAGUGGAAUUAUUGAGCUAAGCACCAGUAGAACAAAUUCUGUUCCACGACUGCAAGUAAUGACAGCACCCUUCGGGGCCAACAGUGAAUUUGUUCCUCCCUUUUUAAAAGGUGGGCUGUACUCAAAGCUGCUCAAAGAAAGAGACUAUAUGACAUCCUGUUAGAAUUACAAAGCUAGUAUCUCAGUCUAGGCAUUAACAGCUUUUAAACAAAGAACUCGUGUUUGGUCUCAGACAAAAAUCUAGCUCAGUAAGAAUACAAAUUAAAAGUGCCUUGCACGGUACCAAAUAUAAUAAAUGUAGUUGUGCUUCUGAAAUUGAAGGAAUCCAAUGUUUGAAGGUGUGUUUCUCAAUAGCAAAACAAUAGCAGGCUAUCUGGAAAAAAUAAUAAAUACACUGAAACAUU